AAACUUCCCUGGCAGGGGAGACACCGUGAUCAUGAAGGUGGUUUUCCCAGGUUUAUCCCUUGCCCCCCGGAUGUGCUGACCCCUGUGAUUUCCCCAAGUUUGGAAAAUUCAACUGCAUAAUUUGUGGUAGUGGAGUCCGUGUUCACGCUCUUCCC
Molecule: small nuclear RNA, 155 nt
Filed under: Microtus ochrogaster (prairie vole)
Lineage: Eukaryota; Metazoa; Chordata; Mammalia; Rodentia; Cricetidae
Description: U1 spliceosomal RNA (ENSMOCG00000005491.1)
Rfam family: U1 spliceosomal RNA
About the family: U1 is a small nuclear RNA (snRNA) component of the spliceosome (involved in pre-mRNA splicing).
Source: RNAcentral